UGCCUUCUUUAAAAAAGUAAAAGACUGGACUCAAGAACAUAGCUUAGGUCAAAUUAUAAUGGGAGGAGAUUUUAAUGAUAUUCUAAAAAUUAAUGAUACAAAAAAUUAAAAACAAAAAAACAAAUUCAACAAACCAGUUCACGGGCUGAAAACGCUCAUUAAAUAUUUCAAAUUCAUAGAUAUAUGGAGAGAUAAAAACCCAACACAAAUCCAAUAUACGUGGCGUAGAAAAUCAGGAUUAGAAGCAACUAGAAUCGACUUCUUCCUUGUAAGUAAAGAAUGUAAAUCACAAAUAGUCAAAGCAGAUAUAAGGCCUAUUAUAUUAAAAUCAACAGACCAUAACGGUAUUUCAUUAAAAAUCAGAACUCAAAAAAUAAACAAAGGGAAAGGAUACUGGAAAUUAAAUUCAUCAAUACUGAAUGAUAGAGACUACUGUUGUAAUAUAGAAAAACUAAUAAAAUAUUAUGAAAA
Molecule: long non-coding RNA, 471 nt
Filed under: Mytilus galloprovincialis (Mediterranean mussel)
Lineage: Eukaryota; Metazoa; Mollusca; Bivalvia; Mytilida; Mytilidae
Source: RNAcentral